GCAAACUUGGUCAUUUAGAGGAAGUAAAAGUCGUAACAAGGUUUCCGUAGGUGAACCUGCGGAAGGAUCAUUACAGAAUUGUUCGUUUCUCAAUUUUACGGGCAUUCUAAAUCCGUAUCCCUUCCGGCAGGGUUUUUUUAACAUCCCGAUUCUUUUAUCUACAAGGUAAAGGAAAAGGGAGAUAAGAAAAGCUCUUGCCGUAGGGCGCUUCUUUUUCUCUCUAAGAGAUUGGAGAGGGAAGGGAGCGUCUGUCUGACCCUUGCCUUAAAAUUUUAUUUUGUCUGAAAAUUUAAUUAAAUAAUAAUAUUUAAAACAACUUUCAACAACGGAUCUCUUGGCUCUCGCAUCGAUGAAGAACGCAGC
Molecule: unclassified non-coding RNA, 363 nt
Filed under: uncultured fungus
Lineage: Eukaryota; Fungi
Description: partial contains small subunit ribosomal RNA, internal transcribed spacer 1, and 5.8S ribosomal RNA
Rfam family: Eukaryotic small subunit ribosomal RNA (bases 1-73)
Source: RNAcentral